This 284-nucleotide ribosomal RNA is filed under the name Klebsiella pneumoniae. RNAcentral describes it as "partial 23S ribosomal RNA". It matches the Rfam family "Bacterial large subunit ribosomal RNA", at positions 2647 to 2925 of the family's 2925-position model. RNAcentral also lists the same sequence under 1 other name. Lineage: Bacteria; Pseudomonadati; Pseudomonadota; Gammaproteobacteria; Enterobacterales; Enterobacteriaceae. The record is from RNAcentral.
GUGGGCGCUGGAGAAUUGAGGGGGGCUGCUCCUAGUACGAGAGGACCGGAGUGGACGCAUCACUGGUGUUCGGGUUGUCAUGCCAAUGGCACUGCCCGGUAGCUAAAUGCGGAAGAGAUAAGUGCUGAAAGCAUCUAAGCACGAAACUUGCCCCGAGAUGAGUUCUCCCUGAGACUAUAAGUCUCCUGAAGGAACGUUGAAGACGACGACGUUGAUAGGCCGGGUGUGUAAGCGCAGCGAUGCGUUGAGCUAACCGGUACUAAUGAACCGUGAGGCUUAACCUU